This 281-nucleotide ribosomal RNA is filed under the name Anaerobutyricum hallii. RNAcentral describes it as "partial 16S ribosomal RNA". It matches the Rfam family "Bacterial small subunit ribosomal RNA", at positions 496 to 776 of the family's 1533-position model. Lineage: Bacteria; Bacillati; Bacillota; Clostridia; Lachnospirales; Lachnospiraceae. The record is from RNAcentral.
UAGUCAUUGGUGCCAGCCGCCGCGGUAAUACGUAUGGAGCAAGCGUUAUCCGGAUUUACUGGGUGUAAAGGGUGCGUAGGUGGCAGUGCAAGUCAGAUGUGAAAGGCCGGGGCUCAACCCCGGAGCUGCAUUUGAAACUGCUCGGCUAGAGUACAGGAGAGGCAGGCGGAAUUCCUAGUGUAGCGGUGAAAUGCGUAGAUAUUAGGAGGAACACCAGUGGCGAAGGCGGCCUGCUGGACUGUUACUGACACUGAGGCACGAAAGCGUGGGGAGCAAACAGG